UGACUUUGGUAAGUUGCAAUAUGCUCAAAAAAGAUGGGCGAACCCGCCUAAUAGGUCCUCGUUUCUCGUUUUAGAGCCAAUUGGGCUCUUCAAGAAAAAUCUGUGAGUUUGCUUUGGUCGUUCUCGUGAACCUCGAGGG
Non-coding RNA from Caenorhabditis elegans, 139 nucleotides. The record is from Ensembl. Lineage: Eukaryota; Metazoa; Nematoda; Chromadorea; Rhabditida; Rhabditidae.